Molecule: long non-coding RNA, 8789 nt
Organism: Astatotilapia calliptera (eastern happy)
Lineage: Eukaryota; Metazoa; Chordata; Actinopteri; Cichliformes; Cichlidae
Source: Ensembl
AGGACGGAGAGGACGACCCGAGCGCGCUGCACAUCAAUAAGGUCAACUUGAGCAGGGUUCUCAAAGAAAACGAGAGGGCACGUCUGAGAGUCUGCGUGGAGAUCACGCACCCUGCUCUCAAGCUUCCUGUUUACCGGACAUGGACAGGUGAACACUUAAGCCCUCCUCCUGUUGAAGUAACCUCAGUAAGGCCAGAGAAUCACUUAUCGAGUACUUGCUGUUAUCUAUCCGUACAGGAAGAGGCUAAUUCGAUCACAUGGAGUAGGGGAGAGUUUUUCUCAUGUUUUGCUCUUUUCCUCUUCCAGAGCCCAAUGAGGAGAAUUCAUCCACUGCAUGAAAGUCCUGCAUCAGUCUAUUUCUAUUAUGAUGUAUCUAAUAUUUAUCCCCUCAGGAAAUAUGAACUAUUACUGACACAGUUUAUGAUGUGAUCAUGCAUUUAUUUAUAUUCUUAGUCUAUUCUUACUCUGACAUCCUUUUAUUUUUUUCCUUCCUGCUUAUUUUUACAAAUAUUAAUUUUUUUUUUACAAAUAAUGUUACAACAGUAAUUGAUUAGCUUUAAUCAGCGUUUUGAAAUAAAAGCUAAAUAUUCUAGUCUUUCAAGGCUCUCGUGAUAAUGAGUUAUUAGAAAAGGUUACUGCAGCAAGCCUCAUGCAAAGGAGAUAUCUGUUGUUGGUCAACCGACGUAUCGGAAAUUACUUCUCGUUUUAAAAGGCACUUCUGCUUUGACGCUGGGCUUUUCUUUUCUGUUUUUUUACUCUCCACUCUUGACCACAGCAGCACCGCCUCCGCAGUGCUGCGAGGAGGUGUUGUGCGGCUGAGCCCAAUAAAUAUAUAACUUCUUAGUUCUUUAGCUUGCAGCUUCUGCCUUUCAGUUCAUAGAGCAGCUACUUCUGCUGCAAAUAUGUUAACAGCCUCCCCGUAGAUACUGCAGCGCACCGUUUCAGUUCUUUGAUUGUAAAAAUAACGGUUAUCUUACUUCCACCUCUUCCAUGUUGUAGAAAUUGCAUAUUAUUUCCUACAUAUAAAAACAUCAACAGCUGCUUAACUACCAUUAGAAAUCGUUCUAUAUAAAAAAUAACAGAGCCCUAAAAUUUGCCCCAGAGUUACAAACCAAAUGAAAAGUGAGAAUAAUUGUGACUUUGUGAGCAUUUGAUUCGAUGGUGACAGUACGAAGGGCUAAAAACAUUUUCACUAAGAGAUAUCUGCUUAAUAAUGGAACUUAGAGGUGAGUCACGUCCAAUUGGUCAAUGACGUCACUGGAAAUAAGGUAUUUUUUAAGAAGCUAAAAUCAGAUGAAACCAAAUUUGGGACAUGCUCUUUUCUAAUGCCAAUGUGACUCAUUCGUGCUCAGUUGACCUGACUCUACAGUGUGUCAUGAGCGGGGGGAGGGGGUUGGUGGUUUGGAACAGGCCACCUUCACGCCCCCAGAUGUUUUUUUGGUUUUUUUGUUUGUUUGUUUUUUAAGACUUGCGGCGAUCAGCUGACUCAUAUCGCAUCAGCUGGAGCUAUUUCUGAGACUUUGCACAGCUCUCUAUGUACCCAUAAAAGGCAUUGUAUUAUUAUCCUUCAUAUGCAGCAGCACUCAGCAACAACUGGCUGGUGAAGUCACCCAUUUAUGAUGCACAAAAAGAAGAUUCAUAAAAUCAAGAAGCUAUCUUCAGAAAUAUUUUAUUGCUCGUGCAUAUGCCUUAUGAUUUAUUUUUGUAACUUGUGAAAAUAAUGACUCUGUCUUGGUUUAUGGGUCUCUUUGAAUGGUGUCUAAUUCAGUCAAAAAGUAUCCUCUGUGUUCCAUUUCAUUAAUGUAUUCAUGCAAACAAUAAACAUGUGCUUAUAUAUGUGGCGGUCUCAGUCAUUUAAUCAUGAAUGCGUGUUCUCAGGUGGAUCCUGGCAGCGCCGUUUCAGAGCAGCGCUUCGGUAUCUGUCACAGAGUUUUACGAACUUUUUUUUUCCUGUGGCUAUGCUCAUUAUUCACAUCCGCAAAGUCUGCAACGCGUCUUCUUAUGUUAACGUGUGAAUGUGUGUGUUAAUCUGUCUCUUCCUCAUUAUCAUACCCCGGACAUAUGUCAGUUCUAGGGGGAGGAAGUGAACGGCCACUAACAGCUGAUGUGUUUCCAUCCUGGACGCGCUUGGCUGCAACUUUCUGUUGACUUUCUGCCUGGUUGCAAAGACCGCUUAGGGGGGGGGGAAACUAAAGUGACACAGUGCUUUGGUUUGUCCAUGAUUUUUUUUUUAAUAACGAGAACGUCACGUCAGAUGGUCAGAGAGUGACCAAGGAGGAAUCGUAAGGAUGGACCCUGAAAGUCCCGUGUCCCGCAUGGAGAGAACUUUGUGGACAGUCUGGUACUACAUAACUGGAGCUGUAAACAGAUUCAUCAGGCCACAGCCCGCUGACACUGUCAACAAUGACCCAAACACAAAUCAGGAAUCUGCAGCUGAAAUCAAGCACCCUCCCUCUGACUCAACAGAGGGUGACAGUAGCAGAGAAGGUGUCGAGGAGGAGCAGCUUGUCGCAACAUCCUCUCUGCUGAGCUCGUCUCGCCCCGUUGUCAAAUGGGAACUUUGCACCACAGAAAUCGACUUAGGGGUUGAUGAAGAAAACAUGCAGUACAAAACCCAGCUGAGAAAAGUCGACGAGAGCAAAGAGGAUGGUGAGGGCAAGAGAGAGGAACAGCGUGACAAGACAGGAAAUGAUCAUUCAAAUGAUUCAAGAGCAAAAGAAGACGAACGACACACGAUGGAGAUCGAAAAAAUGCCCACUUGUGCAGGACUUGCAGGGCCUGGAAAUGAUGAACAUGAACAUGCCGCUUCUGGACCACAAAAUUUGUCCGAGGUUGCAACAUGCCAAGAAACAACUGAGGAGGAAACUGAUGCUGAGAAUGCAACAGUGAGAUUAGGGUUGCCCGGUGAUCAUCCAACAAAGGAGGAAAAAAUAAAAGAAACCCAAGUAAAAGGAGAAAAGGAUCAAACCCAUGAUAAAGAGAAGGAAGACCUUGAAGCAGAAGACACUUUGAGAAAAGAAGAAAAUGAUGAUAAACUGCGCAGUGAAGAUGAGCGAGAGUUAAAAGCAGAAAACACUGAGGUAAAAGCAUGCAUAGCUGCAGGUAUAAGUCCAGAUGAUAUGGAUCACAUGCAGAAAGGAAAGGGAGAGGUAAAGGAGCAUGAUGCAGUGUUAUUGGAUGAUCAUUCAGGAAGGGAGGAACUUGUUAAAGAAACCCGGCUGAAGGAAGAAAAUGCUAAAGCAGAUCAUGAAAAGGAAGAAGAUUCAGAAGCAGAAGCCACUGAAGUAAGAGAGGAAUAUAACAACAUGCACUGUGAUGAUGACAAUUUGGUAGCAGAAAACAACGCGUUCAAAGUAUGCAUGACAAAAAGUCCAAAAGAGGAGGAUUACGUGCACGAAGGGGAAGGAGAAGUACAAAAGAUUGAUACGGUGACACCAGAUCAUCAUCCAAGAGAGGACCAAAUUAUCAAAGACACCCAAAUAAAUGAAGAAGAUGAUACACUUCAUCAUGAAGAAGAGCGAGAUUUAGAAGCAGACCCAGAGAUAAACGUGUAUCGAAGUAUCAAAGAUAUAAGUCCAGAAGAUCAGGCUCAUACGUACGAAGGAGAGGCAGAGAUACAGAAGAAUGAUGCAGUGACACUGGAUGAUCAUCCAAAAGAGGAUAAAAUUACUGAAGAAACUCAAUUAGAAGAAGAUGAUCAAAUCCAGCAUGAAGAUGAACAAGAUUUGGAAGCAGAAGACACUGAGAUAAAAGUGUGCAUUAGCACAAGUUUAAGCCUAAAUGAUUAUGAUAAUGAUCACCUGCAGGAAAUAGAGUCUGAAGUACAGAAGAAUGAUGCAGUGACACUGGAUGAACAUCCAAGAGAGGAUGAAACCAAAGAAACCCAGUUAGAGGAAGAAGAUGAUAAACUGCAGCAUGAAGAUGAACAACAUUUGGAAGCAGAAGACACUGAAGUACCAGAAGAAGAUGAAAAAACAGACUAUGAAGAUGAACAGCAGUUAGGAGCAGAGGGCACUGAGGUCCAACUGUGCAUAACUACAGAUAUAAGUCCAGUACUGGAUGAUCACAAGCAGGAAACAGAGGCUGAGUUACAGAAAACUGAUACAGCGACACUGGAUGAACAUCCAAGAGAGGAUGAAAGCAAAGAAACUCAAUUAGAGGAAGAUCAUCCAAUAGAAGAUGAAAUGUUCAAAGAAGACAACUUAAAGGAAGAAGAUGAAAAAACAGAUCAUGCAGAUUUCGAAGCAGAAGACACUGAGAUAAAAGUGUGCAUUAGCACAAGUUUAAGUCCCGAUGAUGAUGAUAACCAUCGCCUGCAGGAAAUAGAGUCUGAAGUACAGAAGAAUGAUGCAGUGACACUGGAUGAUCAUCCAAGAGAGGAUAAAAUUACUGAAGAAACUCAAUUAGAAGAAGAAGAUGAUCAAAUCCAGCAUGAAGAUGAACAAGAUUUGGAAGCAGAAGACACUGAGAUAAAAGUGUGCAUUAGCACAAGUUUAAGCCUAAAUGAUUAUGAUAAUGAUCACCUGCAGGAAAUAGAGUCUGAAGUACAGAAGAAUGAUGCAGUGACACUGGAUGAACAUCCAAGAGAGGAUGAAAUUACUAAAGAAACCCAGUUAGAGGAAGAAGAUGAUAAAAUGCAGCAUGAAGAUGAACAAGAUUUAGAAGCAGAAGACACUGAAGCACCAGAAGAAGAUGAUAAAACAGACUAUGAAGAUGAACAGCAGUUAGGAGCAGAGGGCACUGAGGUCCAACUGUGCAAAACUACAGAUAUAAGUCCAGUACUGGAUGAUCACAAGCAGGAAACAGAGGCUGAGUUACAGAAAACUGAUACAGCGACACUGGAUGAACAUCCAAGAGAGGAUGAAAGCAAAGAAACUCAAUUAGAGGAAGAAGAUGAUAAACUGCAGCAUGAAGAUGAACAAGAUUUAGAGCCAGAAACUGUUGAGGCAGCAGACGACAAUGAUAAAACCGACACUGAGGUGAAAGUGUGCAUAGGUACAGAUGUAAGUCCAGAAGAGGAGGCAGAGGUACAGAAAAAUGAUGUAAUGACACUGGAAGAUCAUCCAAUGACAGAUAACAUUAAAGAAACUGAGUUAAAGGAAGAUGAUAAAAUGCAGCAUGAAGAUGAUCAAGGUUUAGAAUCAGAAGCCUGUGAUAUUAUGCUACAACUGGACUCUCAAAAUGUAAUCAAGUCAGAGGAGAAAACAAGUCAAGCUGAAAAUCAGCUCUCAGCUUUUGGAGACCAGCCAGAUACAUCAGUGGUUAUGCUCACUGUUAUCACAAAAUCUUAUGCAAUGACUCAUAGCAGUGAAAAUGAUGAAGGUGAGAAAGAGAAGUGGGUUGAGACAGAGCGGCCUGCCGUCAACGAGACAACAGAAGUGCCAGAUCUGGACGAGAACAUCGGAACAGAAGCAGAAGACACUGAAGGAGAAAAUCUUUUAACUCAAUAUGAUUUAUCCGGUAAAGAAGCUGCACUGAAGACUGCUUCACAGCUGCACACAGCUGGAUUCACAGAUGAAUACGAGGAGGAUAUGAGAGUCCCAGGAGUGCAGACCAAAACUAGGCAGGCCGGUGUGACAGUAACAGAUAUUUCAGAAGAGAGACUCAUUGAUCAAGACCAAGAAAAAGAGGAGAGCGUCUCCAGUGAAUCCUACACCGGAGAAUUUUACAACGAAAUUAUAGAUUCAAGCACCUCAGUUACAGUAAAGCCCAAAGGCGAAACAACGCAGGAAACAGACGAAGAAUUUAAAAACACUCUCCCGGGGAUCAGUGAAGGCCAGUGUGCCGUGCUGCAGGAACUAAAUACUCCAACAUGUGAGGAAAUUCAAGAGGGAGUUUCCAAAUAUAACAAUGAGCUUCGGAGGGCCGAUGAAAAUACAACACAAAGGUUCCUGGAAGCAGGAGAUUGUGAGGAAAUCCCGGCAACUCAAUUACCAGAAGAGGUGGAGAGCGGAGAUCAGGAGAGCCUUGAAAACAGUGACUGCAGGACUGGAGCUGACCAUUUACUGCUGAAGGAGUCCAUGGAAGACAAACAAGAAAGCAAAGAAGAGACUGAGACGAGCUUUGGUUUGUUUGUGGAGGAGCACGAAGGCACACCGGACCUUGAACUAGAGGCAGAGAGCAAGCUUGUUGAAGGAGUAAUUCAAGAAUCGGGACUUGACAAAGAAGAAGGAAAAUUACUGACAAGUUCAAUGAAGACAGAGGUGACUGGAACACAUGUUGGUUUAGUGGACGAGACUGAAAGGAGAUCAGAAGGGCUGCAUGAUGGUGGCAGAGGAUCUACAGGAGGUGAAACAAGAGAAGCGGUUGCAGCAGCAGAAGUGGUUGGAUUCGUCAUUCAGGAGUCAUUAGCAGCCAUAAAGUUGGAUCAAAGCAUCAGCAGACCGUUAAGUUUACAAGAAGACACGAGUGAAUAUGGGUUUGUGAGACCCUUAGCUGAAACUGAGCCUAUAUCCGUUGAUGAUACCUCUGUUGAAAUGCAAGAUAAAGCCAUUGAAAAAGAAGGAAGGGGUUGUGAAGAUGAAGAGGAGGAAGCAGAAAAUGGAAUCCAGACCUUAAAUGAAAUGGAUUUACAGAUAACUAAAGAAACUGCAGGUGAGCUAAUCACAGAAAGAGGAGACAAAGAGAUUCCUCUGAAUGCAGAAUUGGAAAUAUCUCAACACUCUGAGACUCAGGAGAUAAACAAUCAGUCGCCACACAGAGCACUUGAGAUAAGUGAGACACAAAUAAUAGUAGCUGAAACAGCUGACGAGCCCAGACCAGAGGAUUUGCCAGUGACGUCAUCAGAGGAAAAAGGCGGUUCAGUCAGUGGACAUCAAGACGUAAUUGAUGAAGAAAUCCUUGACUUGUGGAUUGAGGCGGUGAUGUCAGAGGACACUGAUGAGAUUAGACAAGAAGAGCCCAAGCCAGGGCAGCUAUUGGACGCCAAAACAGACACUUUAAAUGAGGGUGAAAUAUCAACAGAGAAUGAGAAAGUGUCACUAGCAGAGGCCAUUUGUAGGGAAUCUGAGGCAGUAAGUGACACAGAAAUGUCUUCAUCAACUGUGGAGUCUGGAUUUUUGGACCAGUUUCUCAGUGAAUCGUGUAUUCUGAGUAGUGAGACUCAGCUGCUGAAAUCAACGAGCACUGACUCACUCCAGGGGAUCCAUGAGCUGGUGGCUAGCGUGUCCACAGACAUCUUUGGAGUUAUCGGACAGCCUCAAACUCAGGACUUACUGACAGAGGAAUCAGCCGAGACAGAGAAAGAAUCGGUCGCUGAUAUAGAAGCUCAAUCACAUCUGAACCAGGAAUCUCAAGAAAAAGCAGAAGAAAGAGCUGAAACAUUAGAGACUGAAAGUGGAUCACGGAAAGCGUAUGAGGAUGUUGAAGAAGCAGAUGUAACAACAAUGACAACACAGAGCUCUCCUUCGCAUGACAAGAAGGUAGAAGCUGAGGAGGAGCAUCUUGAGGUAACCGCGUCUGAUUCUUCAGAUGAACUCAAACCCGCUGAGUCUGAAGAAUCUGAAAGUGACUCACAAAGUGAACCUGAGAAGGACACACUGAAUAGACCACAGCCUGCACAUUCAUCCUUAUUUCCUGUGCUAAACGAGGCCCAGGUAGCAGAAGAGCCAACAAUUGAAUAUGAGAAUAAGGUGGAUGGCCCUGUGCUGGACUUUGCUGUGCAAAGGUCACGAAUUGCUGUUAAGAACCCUCGUGUAAGGCCACCUAAAAAUCCCCGCUCCCUGCUUCAUAUGCCCUCGGAGGAACCCACACCCACACCUACACCAUCUUCACGUUUGCCGGUCAAACUCCCUGGAGGUGUGCCUUUAGGAGGCAUAGGUAUUGGAAUAAAACUCCCUGGGCUCGGUGCUGGAUUUCCUGUUUUAAAAAAGACACAGCGGGCAGUGAGAGACGAAAAUACCCAGGAAACAGUGUCACAGGAACCUGAAACAAAGCCAGAGGAGAAGAACGACGCUCCCCCACAGGAGGAGGAGGAGGCACCGAAGAAGCCUAAAUGGAUGCCACCAAAACAUCCCGGAGGAUUUGGAAAUCCCCUGAUGGCAGAGCUAAAGACCAAACUGAAGAAAACACCAAAGGAGUGAGAAGCUCAAUGGCUGUGUGCAAAUACCUGAAUGUAAUAAACAUAUGGUUUUAAUUUUGUGUACUGAGAAAUUGUUCUUUAUGUCCCCUACUUGUUCAAUGUAAUUUGUAAAAUAAAGAUAAACUUUCUUGCAUGAAAACAGUGUUGAUACAAUUAAUCUCAAUUUAAAAAAACAAAACAAAACAAAGAAACACGAGUUCCCUUGUAUGAGCAGUCACGAAAACAUUUCUUCUCCAAACUGUUCAACUGAGUUGCCACCCUAAUAAACUCAUUUCUAACCCCUACUCUAUUUCUUUUCCUAAAUGUCUAUUCAAACAUGGUAGAACAGUUUGAAUUGACAUACCUAUCAUGCACGGUGUAGAAAACUAAAGGGGAAUCUAAAAAGAAACAGAUCAGAGAGCUGCGCACAAUGUUAUAAUGAAUACUGUUUUAAACCUCCUGGAGCAGUGGUAUCAAUCAUAAUGUCUGGUAGCCAAAAUCGCCACGACAAAGACUUCAAUGCAGCCCACUGCAUUGACAACUUUUGUACAACUUUUCCUACUGAUAAAGAGCUUCACCCGCAGUACACUAAAGUAAUCAGGUGACACAUUUAAUCGUUUAAAUGACAGGGAAGUUCCUUAUACUAUAAAAAUGUAUGUGUUUUUACAGUGUGUGCAUGGUUAAAAAGGAAUUAAAUGACAGAAGCAGUUAAAUGCUAUUAUAUAAUCAUU